Molecule: ribosomal RNA, 1180 nt
Filed under: Lactiplantibacillus plantarum
Lineage: Bacteria; Bacillati; Bacillota; Bacilli; Lactobacillales; Lactobacillaceae
Description: bacterial SSU rRNA
Rfam family: Bacterial small subunit ribosomal RNA
Source: RNAcentral
AACUCUGGUAUUGAUUGGUGCUUGCAUCAUGAUUUACAUUUGAGUGAGUGGCGAACUGGUGAGUAACACGUGGGAAACCUGCCCAGAAGCGGGGGAUAACACCUGGAAACAGAUGCUAAUACCGCAUAACAACUUGGACCGCAUGGUCCGAGGCUUGAAAGAUGGCUUCGGCUAUCACUUUUGGAUGGUCCCGCGGCGUAUUAGCUAGAUGGUGGGGUAACGGCUCACCAUGGCAAUGAUACGUAGCCGACCUGAGAGGGUAAUCGGCCACAUUGGGACUGAGACACGGCCCAAACUCCUACGGGAGGCAGCAGUAGGGGAAUCUUCCACAAUGGACGAAAGUCUGAUGGAGCAACGCCGCGUGAGUGAAGAAGGGUUUCGGCUCGUAAAACUCUGUUGUUAAAGAAGAACAUAUCUGAGAGUAACUGUUCAGGUAUUGACGGUAUUUAACCAGAAAGCCACGGCUAACUACGUGCCAGCAGCCGCGGUAAUACGUAGGUGGCAAGCGUUGUCCGGAUUUAUUGGGCGUAAAGCGAGCGCAGGCGGUUUUUUAAGUCUGAUGUGAAAGCCUUCGGCUCAACCGAAGAAGUGCAUCGGAAACUGGGAAACUUGAGUGCAGAAGAGGACAGUGGAACUCCAUGUGUAGCGGUGAAAUGCGUAGAUAUAUGGAAGAACACCAGUGGCGAAGGCGGCUGUCUGGUCUGUAACUGACGCUGAGGCUCGAAAGUAUGGGUAGCAAACAGGAUUAGAUACCCUGGUAGUCCAUACCGUAAACGAUGAAUGCUAAGUGUUGGAGGGUUUCCGCCCUUUCAGUGCUGCAGCUAACGCAUUAAGCAUUCCGCCUGGGGAGUACGGCCGCAAGGCUGUGAAACUCAAAGGAAUUGACGGGGGCCCGCACAAGCGGUGGAGCAGGCAGUUUAAUUCGAAGGCUACGCGAAGAACCUUACCAGGUCUUGACAUACUUUAUAUGCAUCUCUAAGAGAUUAGACGUUCCCUUCGGGGACAUGGAUACAGGUGGUGCAUGGGUUGUCGUCAGCUCGUGUCGUGAGAUGUUGGCUUAAGUCCCGCAACGAGCGCAACCCUUAUUAUCAGUUGCUAGCAUUAAAGUUGGGCACUCUGGUGAGACUGCCGGUGACAAACCGGUGGACGGUGGGGAUGACGUCAAAUCAUCAUGCCCCUU